Microcebus murinus (gray mouse lemur) is the source of this 951-nucleotide non-coding RNA. Lineage: Eukaryota; Metazoa; Chordata; Mammalia; Primates; Cheirogaleidae. The record is from RefSeq and is a predicted model, not a curated record.
AACAGCCACAUGUGGUUCAUGGCUGCCAUAUUGGAUGGUGCUAAACUUUCCCUCUACCAAAUUUCUAGUGCUUGACUACACGAAGAAGGUCUCUAUCAGUGAGAGUCAAAGUCUCUCCAGUCAGAGAGCAUGGAGGUAGCCUUAAAGAAUGGAACACACGCAGUAUUUAGUGAAGAGAAGACCUCAAUUUUAACUCUAGCUCUGGCUCUUUCUGGUUGUGUGACUUUAGGCAAAUCCCUUAACCUCCUGCACAUAAAGUGGAUAGAAUCAUAACACCUCCUCUGUCUCAAGGGUGGGCUGCAAGCCCUUUGAUGAUAGGGACCACCUUUCCUUUGCAUCUCAGGUGUGCCCCAUCAGAACUUGACUAGCAGUGGCCAGGUUCAGGCGCAGGCUGAGAGGCCAUUUGUUUGGAAGAUGGUGUAAAACCUGACACGUCGGCGGGGUGAUGGGACUGAAGGAAUGUUGAUGUUCCUCCCAGUUUUGAUACUGUUUUCCACUCCAGGCAAGCCAUGCUUCUGGGCCACACUGUCAUUGCACGGAUGGUUGGAGGCACCUUGCACAAAGAACUCAUUUCUACCCUUUCAACAGCUCCAAUGAAAUCCUGGCAUUCCCAAAUGUUCCCUAGAUAGUUCCUGCCAGACGACCUCGCUUUUCCCCGGCCAUGAGAACUUUUCAACGUGUGAUUGGAAGUCAGAGAAUGUCCGUGAUUCCAACAGCCGUAUCCUUUCUGUGGCCUUGGGUGUAUGGUAAAGCCUCAAGUCCACUAGCUGGUCAGUAGUCACGUGGCACGCACUUGGCCACCUGUGUAAUUGUCCCUGUCAGCUAACCUCUCCAGAAGUCCAUCUCCUCAUCCGCAAAAUGAAAGCUGAGACCAGACCGGGGUUGGCGAAUGGUGUGGCCCGAGUCUGGCUUGCUGCCUGUCUGUGCAAAUAAAGUUUUACUGGAACAGGG